This is an unclassified non-coding RNA of Rhipicephalus microplus (southern cattle tick), 1343 nucleotides long. The record is from RefSeq and is a predicted model, not a curated record. Lineage: Eukaryota; Metazoa; Arthropoda; Arachnida; Ixodida; Ixodidae.
AUUAGAGGAUACAAACAAACAAACAAACUAAGCUUUGGAACUUCCGGCUCAUGGCGAACGUUGUCUGCUUGGAUCCCACGCGCUCCAUGAGAGCUGCGCAACGAGUGGGCAUCACGCGGUUGUUGUGACACCAUGAAUCGCCCUUGCUGCAUUGUGGGCUGCAAGUCCAGCGAUUGGCGACAAGUGAAGAUGAGACACCGUGUGCCUGGGGAAGGCAGCAGGCGAAUCGAGUGGCUGCAGCGUAUCGGACUGCCCGCAUCGGAUCGGCGGCAGUAUUUGCGCGUAUGUUGUCGCCACUUUCAGCUGGAAGAUUACGAACGCAAUUCUGCGCUUACGCAGCCAUUCGGCAUUCACAUGAGGAGGCAUCCCCUCAAAGCCUACGCACUGCCGUCGAUGUUCCUUCCUGGUGAAAAGCAUCACACACUGCCUCAGGGAAGUGUCAGAGAGUGUGGCACAGUUUUGGAACCUUCAGCCAGCCAGACAACCACGCCAAAAACUGUGCGCAAGGCACCCACAAGUACAGUGGCAACUUAGACAACAGUGGAAUGCCGGUCCAUCGCUAUGCAGGUGAACACGACACUGAAGGUGCUUGUUUCGGCCUACACACAAACAGCAGGUGCCUAGACCACAGAAGCUGCUGUACAGACACAGCGUGGUGCUUCAUCACAAAAAGCAGCAAUAUCAGCUUCAGCCGAUGUCGCUUCAGUGCCACAGCUUCCAGCAGGUUUCAGGCCUCUCUGUGGCUCAACACCUAUCCGAAUAGAUGAAUCUUCUUCCGCUGAGAAAGAAAAGCCAGCUGCCGUAACAUCUCUUGAAAUGGCUGAAUCUUUUCUUGCUGAGGAAGAAGAACCAGCUGCUGAUGAUCGAAUGGACGCAUCUUUCUCUGAUGAAGAAGAAGAGCCAGCUGCUGAAGCUGACGUUACAUACUUGCCCUCAUUUAUCAAAAGUUUCAGCAGGUAUUACAAGCUUUAGUUUUUGGUGGACUAACAACAAAGUUUAACUCUUUGACAAUACCAGAUGCUCAGCAAUUCAGUGAUCUUUAACAUGUGAUGAGCAUGUAGUCACAAACUAUUUCACAUACUGAAACCACCACUUGAGACAGUUAUUCUCUGGGGUUGUGUCUGCCCUUUCAUGUUUGCAACAAAGGAAGUUGACCCCCUUAGUUUCCUAAAACAUUUUACCUCAGAGUAGUAGUUCAUGACAGUUCACGUAUCUUUGCCAGAACACAAAUGGUCCUUUCGGCAGUGCAUGCUCAUUUUUUCUACCUAUGUGUUUCAAAACUACGAAUGUCAAGAGGCAGUUCCAUUCCUCUGAGAAGCCUGCCAAGACACUUCCAUGCAUUG